RNA transcript from Lycium barbarum (goji berry), 6170 nucleotides. It is a transcript of the gene named F-box protein CPR1-like, with no coding region annotated. The record is from RefSeq and is a predicted model, not a curated record. NCBI's taxonomy places the organism in Eukaryota, Viridiplantae, Streptophyta, Magnoliopsida, Solanales, Solanaceae. The transcript is spliced from 3 exons.
AUAUAAGUUGAGUACCUAUUUAUGCAUAUCAAAGUUGAAGAAAAUGGUUGGCGACUGAAGUCAAGUUUGACGACCUGUGUGUUUAUUUUGCCGUUUCAGUAGCGUGGACAACUGAUAAGGACAACUAUUAUUAUAUGGUCAUAUGUAUGAUAUUUUGCACCAACGUGGUACACCACCAGAGUUGAUACUAAUAAAUUGACGAGCUUUUGCCUCUUCUUCACUAAUACAAAUCAUUCUUUGCAUCAGCUUAUAAGGUCUGAGAAUUACAAAUUAAUAAAUGCCUGAAGUGCUCGAAGAAGUUCCAUCAACAAGGUGGCGGUGGAUCACAAUCAUGUACUGUAUCUUCAAGCUUUGGACACCCUGGAUCAUUCUCGAUUACAACUGAACUUACCGAUGCUGAAAUCACGGCUUAUGGAGAAAAUCCAUGAAAUUUGCAUUGCUUGGAAAAGGAAACUAGGUUUUGUGAACAGAACUUGCAAAAAAGAGACACAAAAGAAGGAAUUGCAUCAUUUAUGGGAGAAAUGUGAUGCGAUAGUGCACUCCUGGAUCACGAGUUCAGUCUUGAAGAAUUUGCUGAACAGAAUUGUGUAUGGAUCGAAUGUGCAUGCGCUUUGGAAGGACUUGAAGGAGAGAUUCAACAAAGUGAAUCGAAUGAGAACUUUCCAACUGCAUAGAGAGAUUGCAAUACUCUCAACAAGGAUCUCUCAAGUUGCAGGGUCAAGGGGAUUGGUAAGGAAAGAGAUGGUCUGUACAUUCUGAGUGAUGCUGUGCAAGGAUGGAAUAAAGGUGCUGUGCACAUUGCUGCAACAAUAAAGAGAGAAGAAGAGCUUAGUUUGUGGCAUAGGAGGCUGGGACACUCUUCACCAUCCACAAUGAAGGGACUGGAUUUUCUAAAGGAUGCUUUCAAUAGUUACUCUACAAAUAAAUGCCCUGUAUGUCCUUAAGCGAAGCAGGCCAGAUUGAAAUUUCCCUGUAGUAGUUCAAGAUCAAAUUCACCAUUUACUCUUGUAGACUUGGAUUUGUGGGGUCCUUAUAAGACAUCGACUUUUGAUAGAAAGCAAUAUUGUGUUACUGUUGUUGAUGACCAUAGCAGAUAUACUUGGGCUUACUUGUUACGGUUAAAAACAGAAGUGAUUGUAGCACUAAAGCUUUUCUUGUCUAUAGUUAAGAAUCAAUUUGGUGUAAUGGUGAAAGUGAUUAGAACUGAUAAUGGCACAGAGUUCUUCAACUCUCAAUGUAUUGAGCUGUUCCAAGAAUUAGGAAUUAUUCAUCAAAGUAGUUGUGUAUAUACACCAUAACAAAAUGGCAUUGUGGAAAGAAAGCAUAGGCACAUCCUUGACACAGCUAGGGCACUGAGAUUUCAAGCAUAUAUUCCCAUCAAGUAUUGGAGGCUAUGCAUUAGAGCUGCUGUCUACAUUAUAAGUAGACUGCCCUCUAGUGCUUUGAAUGGCAAGGUCCCUUCUGAAUUACUACACAAGAGGAAGAAGUCCAUAGAUCAUCUUAGAGUAAUGGGAUGUCUGUGCUAAGCAACAACCACACCAAAGGGGGACAAGUUUGCUGCAUGAGCAAGAGCUUCAGCACUAAUGGGCUUUACAGAGGCUCAGAAAGGUUAUAUACUGCUGGAUCUAGUCACACAUCAGUUUUUUUUUUUUUUUUUUUUUUUUUUUAAGUAAAGAUGUGGUAUUUAGGGAAGCAGUAUUUCCUUUCCAUGAUGCUCAACCUAUUCAGCGUAGCUGCAGCCUAUUCAAUCUCCUCCAGAAGAGUUACAGUUGCUAAAUGAAGAGAUGCUUAUUCAGCUUGAUCCUCCAACUGAGGAAGAAUUCUCAUUCAUUACCUGAAACUAUAUCUCAGUGUGAACCUUAAUCUGUACAAGAAAUCCCUUCUGAACCUGUACAAAGAAUCAUUUCUCAACAGCCUGAACCCAUACAUAAAAUUCCUUCUGAACCUGUACAAGAAAUCACCUCUCAACAGCUUGCCAACUUAACUCCUACAGAAGUAUCUUCUAGAAAAUCAUCUAGAGUGAGUAAAGAACCUAUCUGGCAACUCCUCACUCUGAUCAAUGCUGUUUUAGAUUCAUUACCAACCUAUGUAAUGUCCCUUUUUCCUGUUCCAACAAAGGUGGCGAAGAAGCUUGACAAACUGAGAAGGAAUUUCUUAAGGCAUGGCAGAAAAGAAAACAGAGGAUAUAAUUUAGUCAAAUGGCAAAGCAGUCAAUUGAGCAAAGAACAGGGAGGACUUGGAAUUAGAAAUUUGAGGUUGCAGAACAGUAGCCUUUUGAUGAAGCGGUUGUGGAGGUACAAUGUUGAAGAACAAGCCUUAUGGAAGGAAGUCAUACAGUGCAAAUAUGGACAAACAAGUCCCUGGUGCACAAGUACAGUAACAAACACUUAUGGAGUAGGGGUGUGGUGAUCAAUCAGAGAUUUAUGGCCAAAAUUGGAAGAAUUCUUGUAUUAUAGUAGGCAAUGGCAGGAGAACUGGUUUUUGGAAGGAAAGUUGGAAUGGUCAGGUUGCUUUAAAGGACUCAUAUCCGAUUGAUUCUUGUUAUGCAACAAUCCUGAGGCUACUGUUUUUGACUGCUGGAGCCCUCAUGGAUGGAAAUUAAACUUCAGAAGGUAUUUGAAUGACUGGGAGGUUGAAAGAGUGGCAAAUCUUUUGAAGGAUAUUGAAGGUUUUACAGGUAUUUCUACUGAGUCUGACAAGCUGGGAUGGAAACAUAGCAGGGAUGGAGUGUUCUCAGCUAAUAGAGUUUACGAAGGGAUAUUAAUGGAUUGGCAAGAGACAACCCACACUUAUGGAGGAUAAUCUGCAAAAGCAUUGCACCACUCAAAGUAAAAUGUUUCACUUGGCUGGUGGCUAGGAGAUCUUGCCUAACACAUGAAGUGCUCCAGAAAAAGGGGCUACCUGUAGUUUCUAUAUGCUGCCUAUGCAAUGAAACAUGGGAAACAACUGCCUAUGCAAUGAAACAGGGGAAACAAACAAUCAUCUGUUUCUCCACUGCAGAUUCACAACUCAGAUUUGGGCAAUCUUUUUUAGCCUCACAAAGGUUAAUUGGACCAUGCCAGAGCACACCUCAAAUCUACUGAGUUGUUGGGUGAGUAGAGGGGGGAAGUAAGAGUCAGAAGAAGUGGGAGGAGGAUUAUCCCUGCCUGUGUUUGGUGGUCUGUAUGGAAGGAUAGGAAUGAAAGAUGUUUUGAAGAUAGAUCCAAUUCUACUCAUAAUGUGAAGGGAAAUUGUAUUGUAUCUUUUUAUUUUUGGUGCAAAGAACAAUGUAUAGAAGAAGCAGAUCAACUCGUAGAAUUCCUAGGAUCUCUGUAAGUAGCUGCCUCUUGCUCUUUUUUUUUUUCCUUUCUUUUUUGUUUUCUUUUUGGAGGUCGCCAGCAUACCCUUAAUGCUGAGGAAUACAACAGUACCAGUGUUGGAAACGGAUGUACACCCAUUGAUGGGAAAACCCAUAACUUGCUUCAUUCAUGAAGGCAAGUUACAACUCAACUAAAUAACUCCCUAUGGUAAAGAGAGAGAGAGUUAUGUGAUUCAUGAAUUUAGUGGAGUUAAGGGAUAAGGGGUGAUGUAACUCUUGAAUGAAUCGGAGUUAUAAGUUUCAAUAUUGUCCUAUAAAAGGGAUCAGUAGAGAUCAUCCAAACACAACACAAAAUACACUGAGUGAGUUUUCCUUAAACAAAAGAGUGUAGUUGCUGUGGAUAAUUUACAAGACUCCACAAGUGAUCUUGUAAUAAACCGUUCGGCAAUUGGUGGUAGUAACACACAUCGAUCCUAGAGAAGAAGGUUUGUAUUAUUCCGCAUGAAUCUCCGAGUUACAAUUCCUACAACCAGUUAAAAAAAAAAAAAGAACCUAUCUGGUUGAAAGACCGUCUCAACCAAGAAAGGGAAAACCAGAAAUUAUCCUCUCUCACAUUACUUAUCAUAUGACCAGACAUCUUCACAUUUCCAAAGUGUCUUAGCUAAAUUCUCUGCCCAACUUGAGCCUAGGACUUUUAAAGAAGCUGCUCAGGACCCAAGGUGGGUUGAGGCAACGCAACUGGAGAUACAGGCACUUGAGGCUAAUGAAACUUGGAGGAUUGUUUCUUUGCCUCCUUGAGAAAAUGUUGUGGGCUCUAAAUGGGUGUACAAAAUUAUGUAUAAAGCUGAUGGUAGUGUAGAGAGGUUAAGGCUGGGCUGGUGGCAAAAGGUUAUAGCCAGAAGGAGGGGGGCUAGAUUACCAUGACACAGUCUCAGCUGUGGCCAAGAUGGUUACAGUGAGAUCUGUUAUAGCUCUGGCUGCUUCUAAAGGAUGGCACAUGUUUCAAAUAGAUGUUUACAAUGCCUUUUUACACGGUGAUCUUAGUGAGGAGGUGUACAUGGAAUUGUCUCCUGGGUUUGGGAAGCAGGGGGAGCACAAGGUGUGUCACUUAUUGAAAUCACUGUAUGGGCUCAAACAGGCUUCUAGGCAGUGAAAUAUCAAGUUAACAGAAGCUUCUAUGCAAAUAGCGCACAAUCCUAUUUUCCACGAGCGUACAAAGGACAUCGAGAAUGAUUGUCAUUUCAUUCGGGACAAGAUCAAAGGAGGAGUGGUGGAGGCUUCUUAUGUUGGAACCAAAGAUCAGCAGGCAGAUCUUACAAAAGGGCUUGGUCGAGUUCAGCACACAUAUUUGUUGUGCAAGCUAGGAGUCUUCUACUUACUUCACCCUCCUGCUUGAGGGGAGUGUUAAAUUCUACACUAAUACAGUGCGCAUGAGCUACACAUGGAUGCAUCCUAAGUUGGUUAGUUAAUGCAUCAGUUGAAAGUUGUUAGUUUAGUUUGACAGCUGGCACAGCUUUGUAUAAAUAACUGUAUGCAUACCAAAUGAUUAAAAAACAGAAAAAUAUCUUUUCCAUUUCUCCAUCCUUUCUUCUCUCUCGAGCUCCAUGUGAGUUUCUAGUUUUCUUCCGGAUCUAAGGAAAGUUUACCGCGACGAAAACAAAUAACCCAAAACUUUGCAUACAGAGAUACCACUAAUACAAAUGGCAUCAACAUGGUAACAAUCACAACGACCAUCAAUCCAGUAACAGGUUAAUCUAAGAACCCAUUUUGCUUACUAAGCCAAAAAAGAGAAAUGAAACUAAAUUACACAUAACCAUUAACUAGUUGUGGUCUGAGUAUAUCAGAUCCUCUGUAUCAAUUCUGCUCUAAUUGGAGCUUAUUACAUUCCAAUACUGGUAACGAUUUCGAUUAAAAAAAAUGAUUCUUAUGGUAAAUGGCGCCACGUAAGAAAAUUAGGGUGGGACAUGAGGACUUAACGGAGUAGGGAUAAACAUGACUUUUUUUAGAGUACAACGGCAAAUAUGGCCCUAAAGUAGGAUGACAAGGCAAAUAUGUUAAAUAUUUAUAAUGAAGGACAAAUAUAGCUUAUUUCUGAGAGUACAAGGGCAAAUCUGACCCUUUUCUGUAAUUAAAGACCCACAAGGAUCAAUUCACCUUUAUCAGAACAUAAUAGAGAGGUAAAAGUCUUUGACUUGAGGCAGCAAAUGGAAAUUCAUAUUUUUGUUGAUCAAGUCUAACUAAACAACAUUUUCCUAAUAAAGUUUUUCAGCAUACACUGGAUAAGAAGCAUACAAUGAUAAUGAAUGGAGGAAAAGAAUGGACCACAAUCACAAAAGGGAUACACAUUUGAAGAAGCUUCUUCUUACAUAUCUUCCCAUCUUCACCCGUCAUAUCUUUAAGUGAUGUGUCCUAGCGGUUGCAAAAGUGGGUUCCAGAUAUAAAGUCUGAAGCUGACUUUCAUGUAAUAUAGUUAAGAAAAGUAGUUGACAUCACUCUAUCGGAGAGAUGAGACACCCUGGGUUCUUUUCUGUAUUGUUCAUGUGGGGUGUUGCAGCUGCAAAUGUGCACUUUUCUUUGUUUUCGUUAUGAGGUUCCAUUUUUCUUGAUCUAGUCUUUCCCCUACUGUUGUUAGCAGGCAAAUACAGCCUGAUUGUAGUCAUCUAUGAAUUCAUUUCUGUCCAUUUUUCUAUUUGUUUUUGUCUUUUCAGUUUUCCUUAGUUUGAUACUUUGAUCACAUGAUAAAUAGUGCUGCUUGAUUUUUUUCUUAUUGCACUUUGUAUUGUGUUUAAUGCCUGCUGUCUUGAUCUAUUCUCUUUCAAUAAGUUUGUAUGUGGUCUCAGUUUGUUUCUUAUAUACUAGAGAUUUGCUUAUA